AAUUUAGCUUGAACUGCUACCAUUUGAUAAACAACAAACUAAUAUUGAUCAUACAGACUAAACAAACUUUCUGAAGAGGAAACAUGGCAAUUUCGAUGAUCCAGUGGGCUGAAAAAACCUUGCCAUAAAAGAACUAUGUCAACAUCAACCAAUCGAAAACAAAACCAUGAACCAUGCAGUUUUGGUCCACUUUUUCUUUCUGCAAAAUAUCAAAUAAAGACAACAGAGAGCAUUUUCUUUGAUGGAAGUGUGAAGAUAUAUCAUAUGGGCUAACCGUGUAUUGACGGAAUCAAGCAAAUAAGCUUUAGGAUUCAACAGGAAAAUGAAAGCUAAGUAUCCAAUUUCUUUAAUAAACCUGUGAUAAGGGUUCUGGUUUUGCUUCCUUAAUCUACUUGCAUAACAAGAAUCCAAAGAAGAAGAAAUCAGUCAGGAGGCGAUUCCUACAAGCUGCAUGAGCGUUAAUACUUCUUUAGGGAAUAUUUUAUCAGCUGAUUCCAUAGGAAACACCGUAAAGAAUUCAGAAAUCCAUGGAAAGAACUCGAUCAAGCGAUGAAUCCAAGAACAUGCUAAGCGAUGGAUCCAAGAAUUUGCUGAAGCUAAAAUAUGUAUGCACUGUUUACACCAAGCUGUCAUGUAUAUGCUCCUCUUAUCACAUAAUAAAACAAAAGGAUAUGGGGAAUUCUGGAGUAUUCUCACCAGAAUAAACCAAAUAAAUUUUGAUUUACUUCAGAAUGUCUCGGUGAUUCAAUGUUCAAAUUUCUUUUUUCUUAAUUUACUUUUAUCUGUUUGCAUUGUCCACUAUUGAAGGAGAUUUCACAAAGAACAGUUUUGGCUGCAACAAUUUGUGGGGCACCCCUUAAGAACUAUAGACAGAAUAUUGAUCAUGUUGUGCGAUCCAAACUCAUAUGAACUACUGACCUAGAUCACUGAUAGCAAUGGGCAUUACUUGCUAAAUCAAUAAAUAUAUGACUGAAAUUAAAUUCAUCAAAUUGAAAAAAAAAAUUCCAAAUCCAAUAGUACCUUGCUGCAAUUUGGUCAAUGAAAUGAUCUAUUGAAAUUAGAAACCAUUACCACAUUAGGAGUUGCCAAAAAAAAACACACACACAUUCACCACUUACCACAAACAUCCAACCAGCUGCAGCAAGUGAAUCAAGAAAACAGGAAAAAACAAAGAAAGAAUAUAUAUAUAUAUAUA
Molecule: unclassified non-coding RNA, 1195 nt
Filed under: Hevea brasiliensis (rubber tree)
Lineage: Eukaryota; Viridiplantae; Streptophyta; Magnoliopsida; Malpighiales; Euphorbiaceae
Source: RNAcentral